CUGGCGGCAUGCCUAAGACAUGCAAGUCGAACGAAGCGGCCCGUUGAAACAGGGUGCUUGCACAAAGUAGAGUUCGGAUUUCCGCUUAGUGGCGCAAGGGUGAGUAACACGUGGGUUAUCUACCCCAGAGACUGGGAUAACGGUUGGAAACGAUCGCUAAUACCGGAUUACUAUUUAAGAUGAUACGUUAUCUUAAAUUAAAAGGGAGCCUUUAAAGCUUCGCUUUGGGAUGGUCUCGCGUCUGAUUAGCUAGUUGGUGAGGUAACGGCUCACCAAGGCGACGAUCAGUAGCCGGUCUGAGAGGAUGAACGGCCACAUUGGGACUGAGAUACGGCCCAGACUCCUACGGGAGGCAGCAGGUGGGGAAUAUUGGGCAAUGGGGGAAACCCUGACCCAGCAACGCCGCGUGAAGGAAGAAGGCCUUCGGGUUGUAAACUUCUUUUACCAGGGACGAAUAAAUGACGGUACCUGGAGAAAAAGCAACGGCUAACUACGUG
This 497-nucleotide ribosomal RNA is filed under the name uncultured bacterium. RNAcentral's name for it is "bacterial SSU rRNA". It matches the Rfam family "Bacterial small subunit ribosomal RNA", at positions 36 to 507 of the family's 1533-position model. The record is from RNAcentral.